Molecule: RNA transcript, 9691 nt
Organism: Passer montanus (Eurasian tree sparrow)
Lineage: Eukaryota; Metazoa; Chordata; Aves; Passeriformes; Passeridae
Gene: VEPH1
Gene name: ventricular zone expressed PH domain containing 1
Exons: 16
Source: RefSeq, a predicted model, not a curated record
UUCCUGAUGUGUUUUCCAGCACCGGGGUUGGGGCAGAGGGAGAGAAGAUAUUUGUUUGCUUGAUUCCACAUGACAACUCCAGGGUAACUGAAUAGACUGUACGGUCGGCUUGACAGGGCUGAGCACCCGCCAGCAGCCUCGCUCACAUACCAGAGCCAGGGGGAUGGAAGGGGCACUGGCAGCUGGGAUGGAGCCCAUCCCAAUUUCUCCACAGAGCGCCAAUUUGCCAUCAAUUAUUCAUGUUUUUCUGAGGUCUCGCUUCUGAGAGUGCCUUUCAUCCACUCUGUGUAAUCCAUGAGUUAAGCAUGGCAACAUGGCUUCGAGACUGGGGCCAAGGAAGCCUUGAAAUACAGCCCAGAUUUCUCCUUCAUAUGAAGCUGAUUGCUCCUGGCCGGGCCUGUUCCCGUGUUGUGCCCAGCUGAGUGCCCAUGGUGCCUGCAGAGGGCGGCACAGCAGGGCCAUGCAUCACCUCUUCGGGCUGGUUUUGGCACAGAAGGACCUGUCCCGGGCAGGGGAUCUCUUCUCCCUGGAGGAUGCUGAGAUCGAGGGAAGCCUCUCUGAAGCUCUUGAACAGAUCAGGAUUAUUAGUUCAGCUGCAGACUACCAGACCAACGACAACGACCAGGCCGUGGUGGAGAUCUGCAUCACGCGCAUCACCACGGCCAUCAGGGAGACUGCCUCCAUCGAGAGGCACGGCAGGGCCCUGGUGGCCCUCUGGGAGUCCUGUCUGGAGCACAACCUGACCCCCUCUGGCAAGGACGAGGAUGCCCCGCAUGCCAAAAUCGCCUCUGACAUCAUGAGCUGUAUCCUGCAGAAUUACAACCGGCCUCCAGUGAUGGCCUUGGCUGUGCCAGUGGCAGUGAAAUUCCUGCAGAGGGGCAACAAGGAGCUGUGCAGGAACAUGUCCAGCUACCUGUCCUUGGCUGCCAUUGCCAAGGCUGAGCUGCUGGCUGAGCACACAGAAACCAUCGUCAGGAGUGUCCUGCAAGGUAGGCCCAGCCCAGAGCUGGGGUUGAAUCCAGGGAACUCCAUGCUGCUGCGGGUGCUGCCCGCGCUCUACGAGAAGCAGCCGCGGCCCAUCCACGCCCGCCUGCGGGAGCUGGUGGCACCCAUGGCCCAGCUGGACCCCCCCGAGCAGCUCCACCUCCUCAGGCUCCUGCACACCGUGGCCAGGAAGAGAGAACUGGGGGUGCUGAGAGAGUGUUUGCCAUUUUUAUUUGGACACCUGAGGGACCCCAACCACAGCGAGGUGAUUCUAAACAUCCUUCUGGAAAUAUCCAGCUACGAACCUGCAGCCUUGGCCCCGUUCCUUCCCACACUGAGGGAAAUUGGAGAGAGUUUUCCCAGUUUGAUUGGGCAGACAGCAAAGAUCUUCGGAGCUGUUGGACAUCUUGAUGAGGAGCGAGCCAGAACCUCCCUGCUGUAUCUGGUGAACCAGCUGGCCAACAUGGAGCACUCCUUUCACCACCUCCUGCUGCUGGAGAUCAAGAGCCUCACGGACACCUUCUCGAGCAUCCUGGGCGCCCAGAGCAGGGACAUUUAUCGCAUGAGCAACAGCUUCUCUGCCAUUGCCAAGCUGCUGGCGCGGCAGCUCGGCACCGACGGCGCGGCGCCCGCCAGGAUGGAACAGGACCCUGAGGCAGAAUGUCCUGCACCACUGGAUGAUUUAAAAUCUGUCGUGAAUGGCAGUGAAGAAGAUGAAAAGCUGCAAGUUAAAAUCCAGGCUUUUGAAGAGAAAAUAAAUGUGGACAACAGCACCCCCGGCUCAGUCAGGAGAUACAGCCUGGGCCAGGUUUCGAAAGAAGAAAGGAAGGAUAUGAGGUUUAACAGGUCCAAGAGCCUGGCCCUGCACGUGCUCCGGGUGAAGGGGCUGAGCUCGGAGGGAGGCCCGGACGAGGACAGCGGGGACAUCCCUGCUGGCAUCUCCUUCUCCGAGCUCUGCCUCAGCCAGGAGCACCAGCAGGUGCCUUUUGGGGUGCAGCCCGAAGCAGGGCUCCUGGGGACCUGCCUGGUUUCACAGCAGAGUGCUGAUGCUCCCCAGGCAGCCAGUCUGCCAGAGGCGACCCUGGAGACGGCCGUGGAGGGAAGGGCAGAGGCAGCCACGGGCCCUGUGGAACACCAGGACAAGCUGUACCUGCACCUGAAGGAGAACCUGGGCAAAGUCAAGGAAUACGUGAUGGAGAUGGGGAGGAGGAUUCCCAUCCCUGAGCAGUGUGUGAUUGAAGAUACUGUCCAAAGCUGUGUGGCAAAGCUGUUCUUCAGCUGUCCCCUGAAGGGCCACUACUGCCUGUACAGCAAGUCCAGCUUCACCCUGGUGAGCCAGCAGCCUCCCCUCUGGAUCCACAUCAUGUUCCUGUUCCAGCAGAGCCUGUUGGCAGAACCUUUGUCCCUACAAAGCAGCUCUGUGCAAGUCCUGAAGGCCCUGUGGGAGAAGACUCAGCUCAAGGGCACGCACAGCUUUGAGACUGCCAUGAUCCAGUGCACCUUCCCCCACCAGAAGGAGCUGGAGAACGUUCAGAUGCACCUGGAGGAAGUGAGGUUCUUUGAUUUGUUUGGCUACAGCGAGGAGGCAGGAGCCUGGCAGUGCUUCAUGUGCAACAACCCCGAGAAGGCAACAGGCAUCAACCAGGACGGGCAGCCCCUGAUGGAGGGCAGGCUGAAGGAGAAGCAGGUGCGCUGGAAGUUCAUCAAGAGGUGGAAAACGCGCUACUUCACCCUGGCUGGCAACCAGCUGCUGUUCCGCAAGGGCAAAUCCAAGGACGACCCCGACGAGUGCCCCAUCGAGCUGAGCAAGGUGCAGAGCGUCAAGGCGCUGCCCAAGAAGCGGCGGGACCGGAGCCUGCCGCGGGCCUUCGAGAUCUUCACGGACAGCAGGAGCUACGUGCUCAAGGCCAAGGACGAGAAGAACGCCGAGCAGUGGCUGCAGUGCCUCAACGUGGCCGUGGCCCAGGCCCGCCAGCGCCACAGCCGCGAGGCCACCACCUACCUGUAGGCCACCAACGCCCGCGGGACGGCCACCAGGCCACCAGGCCACCAGGCCACCCCCAGCUGUGGGCACAGCGGCAGGGAGAGCUGCCUGCACAGCCACCGCGCCUGAGGGACACCCGCCUCCAUGGGGACACUGCCCCCGGAGCAGCUGCCAGCCUCCAUGGGGAAUCCAGGGCUUCUGCAGCCAGGGAAUGGGGUGAGACACCCAGCCUCAGGUUGUGACACUGCCAAGAGAAUGCCAGCAGUGAGGACUUGCUGCUUUCCUCAAUCAGCUCGGUGUGCAAAGUUAAUUUGCCUUAUUUAAUCCUGGUGGACUUUAUCCUUUUGUUGUUUGUAUGUGUCCUGCUGCUGCUUUCAGGUUUAAAUUGGGAAAUUUGAAAGAUUUUGUAUGGCUGGAGGAUAAUUUUAAAUAUUUAACUGGUUUGAUUUUCCCUUUUUCCUGCUUUUGCUCUGCUUUAUAAUUGAAUGUAAUUUUUAAACUUUCCCUUUUUUUUCCCCUAAUUCUCUUCUCCAUUCUGUAACUUUUCAAAAUUUCUGCAAAUCUGGAAAAUUCCCAGUUUGUUUGAUUUUCUUUGUUACUUUCAAAUUAUUCCAAAGUGGAGGAAGUGCUGUAGCCUAAAAGCAAAAGGGGAGGGGGGGAAGAAUGAGAAAUCUGCAAGUGAAGAAAUGAGCCCAGAGAUCAUUCAAGGCUGAGUAGAAAUAAAACUUGAAAUUUUCCGACCUAGCAAAAUAUAUCUUUUGCAAAAAAAUGUUGCCAGAAAUGUGGAAAAAUGAAGCAAAAACUGCUUUUUCCUGCACCUUCCACUCAGUGGAUGCAGGGCUGGAGCAGGGAUGUUGCUGGCCUUGCCCAGUCUGGCUGUGCAGAGUGUGAGGAGGAGGAGGAUGGCCUGAGGCUGGAAAGGGAGUGGAGGGAGUGGGACCUGAGGGAUCUGCCAGGGUGGUUUGGUUCCUGCUCCCUUGCUGUGGCUGCUGCACAGGUUUCUGGCUCAAAGCUGGGAAUGUUGUCCCACGAAAUGCAAAUGUUUGUCCUUGGAGCCUGGUCCCUCACAAGCACUGAGUGUUCCCGGGUUUGUCUCCCUGGCUGCCAGAGCUCUGCUCUUUGUUAUCCUAACAGGUGAGAUGCCAGUGCUUGGGAAUGAGCACUUACCCAAAUUAGAAUGAGGGAAAAUUAAUUUCUGGCAGCAUUUACCCAAAUUAGAUGAGGAAAAAUUAACUCCUGGCAGCAUUUACCCAAAUGAAUUUCUGUGAGGCCCAGGCAGCAAUUUCUGCCUGAGCUCUGCUGCCUGGGCCUCACAGGACUGGCAGCUGCACAGAGAGGUUCUCAGCCUGAUCCACCCAAACACCCUCAAACCUCUGGGGAGAAACCCUGGGCCUUGGAGCAAGGAACUGCCACAGCCAGGGAAAGGGAAAUCAGGCUGAACUGAGAAGGCUGUUUGCUUUCUCUUGUUUGCUUUCUCCUCUUGGGCUGCCUGCACUCCUGGGCCUCUCUGCGUUCCCCUGCUUGCCUUCUUUCCCCAUAACUUUGAAUCACUUCCCAUUACGGUGGCCCCAGGGGACAGUGGUGCUCCAGGGGACUUGCAGGAAGAUGGUGAGGCCACAGGUGGGCUCAGCACAGGGAGUGCAGGGUGGGGAGUAACACCAAAAAUACUCAAAACUGGCUCCAGACUUCCCAAAGCUCUUGGGAAAGACGUGAAAUGUUCAGAUUCCUGAAAAUCCUUGUAUCAACUAAAACAUGGGUGUCAGGUCGUGGAAUGUGGCAAAGUGAUCACAAGAACCUUGUUAAAGCCAAAUUCAGUCACAGAAGAUAGGGAAGAGCAGCAGGGCAAGGGUGAGGAUGGACACACGAUGGGAGAUUUCCACAGGAGAUCUGGAAGAUGAGGAAAGGAGAUAUUGGAGAUAUACCUGAACCAACAAAUCCUCACCUUGCCCUCAGGACAAACCACUGAGUCUGUGGGGAAUGAAGUCAAUUCAUAGUGAGAUCUUGGAAUUAAUUGCCUUGAGUUCCAGAAUCACAUCCUGCAAUUCACCCUGAGUUCACUGAUAACGGGGAGUUGGCCAUCAAAAGCAGCUUUUACACCCCAAAUAUUCUGGGUUUCCUACCCUCGGAGCCAAGCCUCAGCCUGCCACCUCUGAACGAUGUCACUGAUGUCACGGUGUCACCAGCGUGCUGCACCUCGUGUGUGGCACCAGCACAGCUGUGUCCCUGCUGUCCCCAGGCUUGUCAGCAGGCACUCACAGCCCUCCCUUCAACCCCAGGCUGAUGGAGCAAUGUGGAAUGCUCUGCUCUGCAGCCAGAGGCACCCCAGCUGCCAUGCCAGGAAACAGCUCCCUAAAACAGGGAGCCCAGCCACACUUCUCCUGACUUCAAUUAAAACUUGGAGGAAAAUAAAACAGAAAUUCAGCUGGCAGCUUCUUCCAGUCACCCUCCUAAAAGGAGAAACACAGAGAUCAUCAAUGCAGUGUAGAAUGAGAGCAGGGAACAUCUCAAGCAAAUGUAUAAAUAGCUUUUGUUGGUUCUUUUUCAAAGAACAUGUAUCGGAACAGUUUGGAUUUGAAUAUUCAAAACAUGUUGCAUUUAAAUAUCCAAACCACUUUAGAUUUAAGUAUCCACAACAUUUGGAUUUAAAUAUCUGAACCACUUUAGAUGUAAGUAUCCAAACCAUUUUGGAUUUAAAUAUCCACCAGGAACUCGUUGGUAGCUCUGAUUGUGCAGUAUUUUCUCUGUUGUUUUGCUCAUCCUUGCAGGAACCAUCCUGGUCCUUGGCAAUGACAGCACUGAGAGCUCAUUGAGGGUCCUUGGGCACAUCCUGGAAAAAGGGCUGGAUGCAAACAACCCCCUCAGAGCCCCCAGCUCCAGGAGUCUGCCAUGGAAGAGAGCUCCCAGUGCAAACCAGCACUCCCAGUCCCUUCCACACACUGGGGGCACAGACCCAGCUUUAGGAUUCAACCUAAACCAACCCAAAAUCUGGCCCUGCUCAUUCCUGAAUGUGAGCAAUUUCCAAACCCUCCAAGUUUCACAGAUCAGCACUGCUUCUCUAGGAAACAAAUCCUGCCAAAUAUUGGCUCCCACUCCCACGAGCAGGUUUCUGCAAGGACAAUAAUCCGUGUUUUCCUGAGGAGCUGAUGUCCCCGUGCCUCCUGUGCCCCAUCCCGUGCAUCCUUCAGGGAUCCGAGUCUGGGUGAGAGCGUGGCCUCAGGAGCACCCAAAACUGGGCUCAGCUGGGAACGAUCCCAGGGCUCUGGCAGGGAAGGGCUGGCCCACACCUCGGGCUUUGUCACCUCCCCUGGUGCAGGGGCACGGAGCAGGGGAGCAGCUGAGCAGCUGUCCCCUGGCAGGGCGGGAGCAGCGCUGCCUUCCAGCUCUGCAAUCCACACAGUCCCAGGGAUCUGCUGGGCUGGACCCUGCUGCCAGGGGGACUCAGGCUGGAUGGGAUUUCCUGGAAAUGGGAGCCAUAGGCUCCCUGCCUGCCCAGGGCUGCUUUGGGAGAGCUGAGCCCAGCUCCGGGAAGCUUCCCAAGGAAAUUUUACCCCACAUUCCCCGCUCCAUCCCAAACAAAGCGUUCCCCAGCGUGUCUGAUGGGCUGGAACAGAGCAGGCAGGGAAUGCUGAGGUGUUGCACGCAGGCAGCACGGGGAUAAAUGGAAUAAGCUGGACAUUAUUUUUCCAGCCGUUCCAAUUCCGAGCUCAGCCACCCAUGGGACUAACCUUGCCUGCUUCUUGUUGACAAGUCCUCUAAUUCAUCCCGAUGCUGAUGACUAAUACUCCUUGGGUAAAAUCCUUGACCUUGCUGAGGUCAAAUGCAAAACUCCUAUUAACUCUAAUAGGGCCAGGGUUUUCCUUGGAUCACUGCGUGUCCUGGUGGUACCUUUGCAGCUUCCUGCACUCCCCAGGCUCGGCCAGCUGCAGGAACACAACCCCUCCCUCCCCACUGACAGACCUCCCCGCUUGGCACCAGCAGCGUUUUGGUGAGAAGAGCUGCUUCCCAAACUUUUAGCAGCAUCAGGAGGCAGCUGUGCCUCCAGCAGCCUGCACCGAGGCCAUCCCGAGGGACCUGGGGGAUGGAACCACCCAGCAAGGUCACUUCUGCUGUUUGGGGGCAGCGACACAAUUCCUGCAGCUUCUGUGCUCCAGUGGCAGGAGCAAACAAGAAAUGGGGGUGGACUGGGGAUUUUUUCCAGAGAAACAAUAGAGACAUGCCUGCAGCAGUUAGGAGGGGUUUAUAUUGCACCUGUGAAGGAGCAGGACGUUGAUUAAUUAGAUGUCAAAUUACAGCUACAUUGAGUUGGCUCAAUUAUUCCAUAAAUCUCCCCAUUGUCUAAUUAGGCAAAGAAAGACACAAAAUCAGACUUGAUUCAUUUGACUGCUUCACUGAAAUGACCUGGAACUCUCAAAACAGUUUGUGCUGGGGUUGGUUUUGCCAGGACAUGCAUGUCCCUGGCUGGCCCCACCUGGGACCCCAGUGCCCAGCCCAGGGUCUCUGUCCCACCCCAGUGAUCCCAGUCCCAGCCCCUCCAGGAGACUCCCCAGGCAGCCCUAACAGCUCUCACACUGCUUCAGGACAUCAAAAGAUUUAGGUUUAUUUGCUUCUACAGAUGUGGACACUGUAAUAUAAAUGUUGUGUCCAUCUUCUCUGGAUAUCGACUCCCCAGCCCUGGAAGUGUUCAGUGGCGCUUGCACAAACCUGGCAUAGAGAAAGAUGGCCCUGCCUGUGGAACAAGAUGGUCUUUGGGUCCCUUCCAACCCAAACCCUUUUAUGAUUCCACAAAAAUCCUGGCAUUUAAGUAACUGCAAUUUUCAGGACACACCGAAAUCACUUGGGGUUUUUUUUAGGACAGAAGUAAAAAUACAUUUACACAAUAGCUAUUGUUUGAGAGCCAAGAUUUGCCUCCUGAUCUCUGCCCCUGCCCUUCCCUUCCGGCUCCUCCUGAGCAGGAAAAUCAGGGUGGACCUUGGUGGCCGUGUGUCCUGGAGGGGAUGCAUGGGGUCGCUGGGUCGGAGGGGUCCUUCCCAGGCAGGCCAUGCCUCUGCUGGCAGUGCCACAGCAGGUGGCUCCUUGGGCUCCGUGGCCACCCCCGGGCACUGCUCAGCCACUGCCUUGGAUGUGGUUCCACCACCCAGAGCGUGGGUAAAGGUCACUGAGAAUCCAGGAUGACAGAAGCAACGCCAAUGCCUCGGGGUUAGGAGCAAAAUCCCCCAGUUUUCACUGGCAGCUCUUCGUGGAAAAGAUGUGUGUGUGAGAGGGUUUUGUUUGUAGGGAGCUUGUAAAGGAUAACUUUGCGUCACCACAGCGCUCCCGGCAAAGGCUCCGGGGCUGCCUGUGCUGGAAGCAGCUUUCCUUGGGGGAAACAGCAGCCACGUGUCCAGGGCAGAGCAGGGACCAGAGAGCCCAGGCUGGCUGAGCUGCGGGGCCUCCAGCCCCAGGGAAAACAUUCGUGACCAGGGUGUUGUUCUUGCUUUGAAGGACACGAGUGUGAGGAUCCUUUGCUCCGGUGCAGGUGGUGUUUAGGCAGCAGCAGAGUCUGUUUUUCCAGCUGUCCAUGACUGUGCCUCAGCUCAGAGAGUCACAGAAUCCCAGAAUGGUUCAGCUUGGAGGGGACCUUAAACACCACCUGGUCCCCAGCUUGCACUGUCCCAGGGUGCUCCAAGCUCGACCAGCCUGGUCUGGGACACUUCCAGGGACAGCUGCUGGUUCCAUGAAGUGCCUCUGUGUCCCAGCCAGCAGGGAGCAGGACAAUGCCAGCACCAGGGAAAUCAUGGAAGCACGUGUCCACUAACACCUUUGGGCUGUUGCUGAUGUUGUUUUGCAGCCACAGUGCCCACCGGGCCUGGUCACUGCAGAAGUCCAGGGAGGGGCAUCUUGUUUUGAUCAUUACAUUUUGGGGUAGAGAACUCAGCUUGACACGAAAUCCAAAAAUGCCAGAAAUGCCUUUUGUCCACCAGUGGUUUUCAGCAGCUUGUUAAACACUCACAGAUUGUUUGGGCAGCCUGAACCCUGACAGGCCUGAUGGAGACAUCUUUCCUCUAUUUGGGCUGAUGUGUGAGGUUACACAGCUCUCACUCCCUCAGCCAUCGCUGCAUCCCAGAACUUGGCUUGGGAAAAACAGCCCUGCAGAGUGCUCAGCUGGACUUUGCCAGAGCUGUCUGGAACAUCCCCAUUAAUCACGGAGCACACGAGGUUCUCUGAGCUCCUGGAGAGGUGGGCACAGAGGAGAGUGCCUGGCUCCCAUGCUGACAGAGGUCCAGCUGCAGGCGUUUGGGCAGUAACGUGCAGGUGGCAGAGGGAUAAAUAACGUGGGCAUGGAGAGGAUGAGCAGCAUUUGCUGAUGGAAGGAGGACACUGAGGCUCAGGACUGCUGGGUGGGGAGAUUUUUGGUUCCACAGGGAGCAGGAAAUGUCCACCUAGAAGAACAACAUGCUUGUCUCUGACCCCUGAAGCUCCUGGAUGUGCUGGCAGCUGGGUGGUGACCUGGAGAAAGCCAUGGUGUGGCCUGCGUGGUCUUGGACUCCUUGAGAAGAGUUCCAGGAGCAGGAUGUCUGCUCAUAUCCACGUGUUUGGGGUUCAGGAGGUCCCAGCUGGUCCCACCUCCCUGCAGGGGAAGCAGCCACUGACUCAGAGGUCACGCAGAAACUGCAGAAGUCAAGUCAGAGCAGCAGAUGAAGAGGCAAGGACCUGAUGGCCCUGAUCUUUCUGCUGUGAAUCAUU